AACCGCUAUAUUAGGGAGACUAAAUUCCUCUAACUAAGUGGCUUGCUACGAGGCGGUGUAGUUCUGACAGAAUUCACUAGAACUUCUCAAGAUGUCCAAGAUUGCAACCAUGCUCUGAUACCAACUGACACACCCUGUCCCGAAGGAGGGCAUGCUGGCCGUCACGUGAGAGUGACGUAACCAUUUGCACAGUACGGAAGCUUUA
RNAcentral lists this long non-coding RNA (205 nucleotides) under Malus domestica (apple). Its description in RNAcentral is "long non-coding RNA (MDOM_LNC012458)". The record is from RNAcentral. Lineage: Eukaryota; Viridiplantae; Streptophyta; Magnoliopsida; Rosales; Rosaceae.